Molecule: ribosomal RNA, 245 nt
Filed under: uncultured bacterium
Lineage: Bacteria
Description: partial 16S ribosomal RNA
Rfam family: Bacterial small subunit ribosomal RNA
Source: RNAcentral
GCAAGUCGAGCGUGAAAGCCUUCGGGUGAGUAGAGCGGCGGACGGGUGAGUAACGCGUGGGAAUCUACCUAGUAGUGGGGGACAACAGUCGGAAACGACUGCUAAUACCGCAUACGUCCUAAGGGAGAAAGUGGGGGCUCCAUUUAUGGACCUCACGCUAUUAGAUGAGCCCGCGUAAGAUUAGCUAGUUGGUGGGGUAAAGGCCUACCAAGGCGACGAUCUUUAGCUGGUCUGAGAGGAUGAUC